RNAcentral lists this long non-coding RNA (2235 nucleotides) under Olea europaea subsp. europaea. The record is from RNAcentral. Lineage: Eukaryota; Viridiplantae; Streptophyta; Magnoliopsida; Lamiales; Oleaceae.
AUUGGAAUAAUAUAUAUACUAGAUAGAGGACAGAAAACACGAGACGGAGACGGACGAAAAGGCAGUGGCUUAAAGGAAAAAAUUUCAGAUUACUCUUGGAAGGAACCUUGAUGUCAAUCACGUUCCAUCAAUUAUUGGUGAUGUCGUUCCACUUUUAUUUAUUUAAUUUUGCCGUUAUGUUAGGCUAGAUCUUUUCAUGCUAGGAUUUGCAAUGAACCUUAUAUUAUGAACCCUUAAUCUUGAAUUUUAUUUAUUUGACGUUAAAACAUGUUUUUAAUUAUUGAAUGAUUGGCAUGAAUUUUAUGUUCUCUACAAUUAUAGGCGCAAUAUUUGUAUGAGACUUGUGGCUUGUUUUACUCUCGAGAGAUAGAAAAUAAGUUAGACAUUAUGUUAAUUGUCGUAAAGUCCGAUAGGGGAUAGAAAUAUACCACUAUGCUUUAUGUAAUCUUUAAGUAUUCAUAAAUCUUUAAUGCAUUUUUAGAAAUAUACCACUAUGCUUUAUGUAAUCUUUAAGUAUUCAUAAAUCUUUAAUGCAUUUUUAUAUGUUCGCAUCCGUCAUAGAAAUAUAGUCAGAUCGCAUGUGAAAAUAGGUUUAAUUCUACUUGAGAGAGAUUGUUAAACAAAUUAGGAAUAUUGGUCUUCAUAAUUGAAUCGUGUUGUCAACUUUAUAAAAUUUGGAUUAAAGGGGAUUGAUAUCAGGGGAUUCGGGAUCCUAGUAUGCAUUUCGUUAUCAUAUUUUUAUAAAACUUGCAUUUAGUUAUAAUCACGCAUUUAAUUUAGUUAAUUUAGACUUUAUAUUUAUAAGUAGGUUAUUAAAUUAUAAUUUAGUUAGCGGAAAAUUUCUAUUGUUUCGGUUAAGGCGUAGAUAAUUUAAAUUUAAACUAAUACAAUCUCCGUGGGACGAUACUUGGACUCAAAAGGUCCACUUUAUUACUUGAACGUGACCCGUGCAUUUGCGGUGUAGGAUUUUAGCGAACAAACAUCCUAUUUAUGGAAAGCAAGUCUACAUACAAUGGGUGUAUAGGAUCUUUAGAAGGCCCCCCCUUGAAAUAGCAAAAGCUGCAUUCUCUGUCCACCAUCCAUUUUUGAAAUUUGAAAGGAAUAGUCAUGGUCAGAGGAGAUCAAUCAGCCAUGCAAAAGUGCUACCUCAAACCCUAAAGAGUAGUAGGCCCAAGGGCUCUACGAAUCAAUACUACCUUAACAAUUGAAAGAAACGUGCUCAAAAAACCUCUACUAGGAAAGGAAACAUCCGAUGCUGUGAAAAAGUUGGGUUGAAAAAUCUAUUUACCAGUAAAGAUAGUUUUCCAUCUACUGGUAGAAGCAAGAUUGAGAAGUUGGCGAAAUCAAAGCUGGGCAUGAAACAUGGUCUCAGGAAUUUUUUGAGCAAAAAAUUGAAAGGCGAUCCUCAUUUUGCCUACUGCAAAACUCAGAUUACUAGUAAGGCUAAUCCCGCCAUUAUUUCUAUCAUUGAGGGCAAGAAUCUUUCUGUGAAAGAACUAUGCUUGAAGCUAGACUCUAUCUACCAACAAGGCUAUAUUUAAAGGCGAGGGCCAUCCUACCAGCAAAAUGGUGAAAAGACGAGAAUUACUCCGUCAAAGAAAGUAGGAAUAAAUUUCAUCCAUAACAAUCACAAUGUGUAAAGGAAAGCUGAUGAAGUGCACAAGGGAUUAGAGUUCAUGGUAAAAUGGGACCAUCACAAGGCAAAAGUUGGCAAAAGGAGCAAAUGAUUUCAUGAUGACUUUGGGUUUGCUCGUUUUUGGCGAAUCACUAGUCUAACUUGAUUGGAGCCGAGCCAAGGAAUAAAACACAGUGCCUUUGGCCCUGACGCAAGACCAAUUUCGGGCAAAAUCCAUCGUUUAGGCCCUCGUUUAAUCGUUUUUGCUAUUUAUGGUAAUUUUCAUUUUUGCAAUCUCUUUCCCUGAAAUUCGGAUUUAGAUUCCGUUUGUUGGAGGAUGAUCCCGAAGAUAAGUAUUUUCCAUCUUAGUAAUUAUCUCAUAUUUUCCAUUUUUGGAAAAAAAUAUCUUUUAUAUUAUUUUAUUUUCCGGAUUUUCCUAGGUUUUUUUCUAUUUAAUUAGUUGUAAGCCCUUAGAGGCAGUAGUUCCUGAAUUCAAUAAAAUCUUCCUUGAGAGUUUUCUCAAUUUGUGAUUGUUCAUCUUCCCUAUAAUAUUUCCGCUACGUCACAAGCUUAUGGCUGUCUUUAGUUACAAAUCAUCGUGAUGAAAAAGUUAAAGUGUA